UGGCGUGGUGGUGCUAGUUAUUGCUAAGCGUAAUAGUCCAACAUACAUUAAUUUUUUUUCCUUGUUUAAUAUGGCAUGUCUUUAUUAAGCACAGGUUUCACACAACUUUCUUCUAGAAAGUUUUUUUUUGCGAAUAGAAAGGGGUAGGUUAGAGAUUAAUUAAUAUUUUUGUGUGUGUGGAUUAUGAACUGACUGAUUGACCAGUUGAAUUGAAGCAUGCAGUUCUGAUGUGAGAUCAGUGAAUUUGUCCGGACUAUA
RNAcentral lists this long non-coding RNA (258 nucleotides) under Brachypodium distachyon (stiff brome). RNAcentral's name for it is "long non-coding RNA (BDIS_LNC004378)". Lineage: Eukaryota; Viridiplantae; Streptophyta; Magnoliopsida; Poales; Poaceae. The record is from RNAcentral.